GAUGAAGAACGCAGCGAAAUGCGAUAAGUAAUGUGAAUUGCAGAGUUCAGUGAAUCAUCGAAUCUUUGAACGCACAUUGCGCCCGCCAGUAUUCUGGCGGGCAUGCCUGUCCGAGCGUCAUUGCUGCCCUCAAGCACGGCUUGUGUGUUGGGCCCCGUCCUCCGAUCCCGGGGGACGGGCCCGAAAGGCAGCGGCGGCACCGCGUCCGGUCCUCGAGCGUAUGGGGCUUUGUCACCCGCUCUGUAGGCCCGGCCGGCGCUUGCCGAUCAACCCAAAUUUUUAUCCAGGUUGACCUCGGAUCAGGUAGGGAUACCCGCUGAACUUAAGCAUAUCAAUAAGCGGAGGA
Molecule: unclassified non-coding RNA, 346 nt
Filed under: soil metagenome
Description: partial contains 5.8S ribosomal RNA, internal transcribed spacer 2, and large subunit ribosomal RNA
Rfam family: 5.8S ribosomal RNA (bases 1-120)
Source: RNAcentral